UACGUAGGGUGCAAGCGUUGUCCGGAAUUAUUGGGCGUAGAGAGCUCAUAGGCGGUUUGUCGCGUCUGCUGUGAAAUCCGAGGCUCAACCUCGGACCUGCAGUGGGUACGGGCAAGCUAGAGUGCGGUAGGGGAGAUGGGAAUUCCUGGUGUAGCGGUGGAAUGCGCAGAGUAUCAGGAGGAACACCAAUGGCGAAGGCACAUCUCCUGGCCGUAACUGACGCUGAGGAGCGAAAGCGUGGGAGCGAACAGG
RNAcentral lists this ribosomal RNA (252 nucleotides) under uncultured bacterium. Its description in RNAcentral is "partial 16S ribosomal RNA". It matches the Rfam family "Bacterial small subunit ribosomal RNA", at positions 524 to 776 of the family's 1533-position model. The record is from RNAcentral.